RNAcentral lists this ribosomal RNA (493 nucleotides) under uncultured microorganism. Its description in RNAcentral is "bacterial SSU rRNA". It matches the Rfam family "Bacterial small subunit ribosomal RNA", at positions 9 to 524 of the family's 1533-position model. The record is from RNAcentral.
GAGUUUGAUCUUGGCUCAGAACGAACGCUGGCGGCGUGGAUAAGACAUGCAAGUCGAACGGGAGAAUUGCUAGCUUGCUAAUAAUUCUCUAGUGGCGCACGGGUGAGUAACACGUGAGUAACCUGCCCCCGAGAGCGGGAUAGCCCUGGGAAACUGGGAUUAAUACCGCAUAGUAUCGAAAGAUUAAAGCAGCAAUGCGCUUGGGGAUGGGCUCGCGGCCUAUUAGUUAGUUGGUGAGGUAACGGCUCACCAAGGCGAUGACGGGUAGCCGGUCUGAGAGGAUGUCCGGCCACACUGGAACUGAGACACGGUCCAGACACCUACGGGUGGCAGCAGUCGAGAAUCAUUCACAAUGGGGGAAACCCUGAUGGUGCGACGCCGCGUGGGGAAUGAAGGUCUUCGGAUUGUAAACCCCUGUCAUGUGGGAGCAAAUUAAAAAGAUAGUACCACAAGAGGAAGAGACGGCUAACUCUGUGCCAGCAGCCGCCGUAAG